RNAcentral lists this ribosomal RNA (468 nucleotides) under uncultured bacterium. RNAcentral describes it as "partial 16S ribosomal RNA". It matches the Rfam family "Bacterial small subunit ribosomal RNA", at positions 28 to 507 of the family's 1533-position model. The record is from RNAcentral.
GACGAACGCUGGCGGCGUGCUUAACACAUGCAAGUCGAACGGAAAGGCCCUGCUUUUGUGGGGUGCUCGAGUGGCGAACGGGUGAGUAACACGUGAGUAACCUUCCCUUUACUUUGGGAUAACUUCAGGAAACUGGGGCUAAUACCGGAUAGGAGCUCCUGCUGCAUGGUGGGGGUUGGAAAGUUUCGGCGGUUGGGGAUGGACUCGCGGCUUAUCAGCUUGUUGGUGGGGUAGUGGCUUACCAAGGCUUUGACGGGUAGCCGGCCUGAGAGGGUGACCGGCCACAGUGGGACUGAGAGACGGCCCAGACUCCUACGGGAGGCAGCAGUGGGGAAUAUUGCACAAUGGGCGGAAGCCUGAUGCAGCAACGCCGCGUGCGGGAUGAAGGCCUUCGGGUUGUAAACCGCUUUCGCCUGUGACGAAGCGUGAGUGACGGUAAUGGGUAAAGAAGCACCGGCUAACUACGUG